GAUGAACGCUGGCGGCGUGCCUAAUACAUGCAAGUCGAGCGAACAGACGAGGAGCUUGCUCCUCUGACGUUAGCGGCGGACGGGUGAGUAACACGUGGAUAACCUACCUAUAAGACUGGGAUAACUUCGGGAAACCGGAGCUAAUACCGGAUAAUAUAUUGAACCGCAUGGUUCAAUAGUGAAAGACGGUUUUGCUGUCACUUAUAGAUGGAUCCGCGCCGCAUUAGCUAGUUGGUAAGGUAACGGCUUACCAAGGCGACGAUGCGUAGCCGACCUGAGGGGGUGAUCGGCCACACUGGAACUGAGACACGGUCCAGACUCCUACGGGAGGCAGCAGUAUGGAAUCUUCCGCAAUGGGCGAAAGCCUGACGGAGCAACGCCGCGUGAGUGAUGAAGGUCUUCGGAUCGUAAAACUCUGUUAUUAGGGAAGAACAAAUGUGUAAGUAACUAUGCACGUCUUGACGGUACCUAAUCAGAAAGCCACGGCUAACUACGUG
RNAcentral lists this ribosomal RNA (497 nucleotides) under uncultured bacterium. Its description in RNAcentral is "partial 16S ribosomal RNA". It matches the Rfam family "Bacterial small subunit ribosomal RNA", at positions 28 to 507 of the family's 1533-position model. The record is from RNAcentral.